Molecule: transfer RNA, 87 nt
Filed under: Rhizobium phage RHph_Y65
Lineage: Duplodnaviria; Heunggongvirae; Uroviricota; Caudoviricetes; Kleczkowskaviridae
Description: tRNA-Tyr
Source: RNAcentral
GGGAUUUCAGACGUGUUGGAGUGCGAUCGGCAGACUGUAAAUCUGUCCUCUUAGAGCUACUCGGUUCGAAUCCGAGAUGUCCCACCA